RNAcentral lists this ribosomal RNA (312 nucleotides) under uncultured bacterium. Its description in RNAcentral is "bacterial SSU rRNA". It matches the Rfam family "Bacterial small subunit ribosomal RNA", at positions 202 to 507 of the family's 1533-position model. The record is from RNAcentral.
GUAAGCUAUCGCUGGAGGGAGUGGGCCUGCCGGGCCAUUAGCUUGUUGGUGAGGUAACGGCUCACCAAGGCUGUGAUGGCUAGCUGGUCUGAGAGGAUGACCAGCCACACUGGGACUGAGACACGGCCCAGACUCCUACGGGAGGCAGCAGGUGGGAAUAUUGCGCAAUGGGCGAAAGCCUGACGCAGCGACGCCGCGUGGGUGAUGAAGGCCUUCGGGUCGUAAAGCCCUGUCGCAGGGGAAGAAUAAGCAUCGGUAUAAUACGCCGGUGCCCUGACGGUACCCUGCAAGAAAGCACCGGCUAACUCCGUG